UGUGCCAGCCCAGGGCACUCAGAGUGUGCCAGCCCAGGACACUCAGAGUGUGCCAGCCCAGGGCACUGAGAGUGUGCCAGCCCAGGACACUCAGAUUGUGCCAGCCCAGGACACUCAGAGUGUGCCAGCCCAGGACACUCAGAGUGUGCCAGCCCAGGGCACUGAGAGUGUGCCAGCCCAGGACACUGAGAGUGUGCCAGCCAGGACACUCAGAGUGUGCCCGCCCAGGACACUCAGAGUGUGCCAGCCAGGGCACUCAGAGUGUGCCCGCCCAGGACACUGAGAGUGUGCCAGCCAGGACACUCAGAGUGUGCCAGCCCAGGACACUCAGAGUGUGCCAGCCCAGGACACUCAGAGUGUGCCAGCCCAGGGCACUCAGAGUGUGCCAGCCCAGGGCACUCAGAGUGUGCCAGCCCAGGGCACUCAGAGUGUGCCAGCCCAGGGCACUGAGAGUGUGCCAGCCCAGGACACUCAGAGUGUGCCAGCCCAGGGCACUGAGAGUGUGCCAGCCCAGGGCACUCAGAGUGUGCCAGCCCAGGGCACUGAGAGUGUGCCAGCUCAGGGCACUCAGAGUGUGCCAGCCAGGGCACUCAGAGUGUGCCAGCCCAGGGCACUCAGAGUGUGCCAGCCCAGGACACUGAGAGUGUGCCAGCCCAGGACACUCAGAGUGUGCCAGCCAGGACACUGCGAGUGUGCCAGCCCAGGGCACUCAGAGUGUGCCAGCCAGGACACUCAGAGUGUGCCAGCCCAGGACACUCAGAGUGUGCCAGCCCAGGACACUCAGAGUGUGCCAGCCCAGGACACUCAGAGUGUGCCAGCCCAGGACACUCAGAGUGUGCCAGCCCAGGACACUGAGAGUGUGCCAGCCCAGGACACUCAGAGUGUGCCAGCCCAGGGCACUCAGAGUGUGCCAGCCCAGGACACUCAGAGUGUGCCAGCCCAGGACACUCAGAGUGUGCCAGCCCAGGGCACUCAGAGUGUGCCAGCCCAGGACACUCAGAGUGUGCCAGCCCAGGACACUCAGAGUGUGCCAACCACUGAGCAGCACCACAGCACCCACCCAUCUGACACGACCUGAAGGAAAUAUUUCUCCUUUCUCUCUCUCUUUUCCCCCUCCUUCUCUCCAAGGUUCAGCUUUCAUAACCAACGCUGAGGGCUCCAAUAAAAUCACAAUAAAAUCACAAUAAAACCAAAAAUCUGCAGCAG
Serinus canaria (Common canary) is the source of this 1206-nucleotide long non-coding RNA. RefSeq lists it as uncharacterized. The transcript has 2 exons. NCBI's taxonomy places the organism in Eukaryota, Metazoa, Chordata, Aves, Passeriformes, Fringillidae. The record is from RefSeq and is a predicted model, not a curated record.